CGGUCCCAACAGAYGCGCUCUGUACUCAAACCUUUCUAAGAGUAGAAUAGGUCGGUCGAUGAUGCGCCUCGCACGCGUAGAACGAAGAUCUCACCUCAGCUGCUAGGCAGCCUUUACUUUCAUUGUGCCUUCGGGUUUCAGUCACCCCAAGACUUGCGCACAUGUUAGACUCCUUGGUCCGUGUUUCAAGACGGGUCAGAUGAAGCCAUAUGGCCGCCAACAACCGAGGUGCAUAGUGUGCGUUGGCCUCCCGAAUGACCUCGAGCAGUUCAGACGCACUGCAAGCAGUCCGCCAUGGUCGACACAAGAUCAAGAGAAGGUCGCCAGCCCCUCCGAAGAAGAGCAUGCACCGCUCGCCUCUGCCCCGUCCGAGCUAGUAUCGCCACAGGCUAUAACAGCACAUGCCGAAGCACGCGCCUACCUUCCUGGACGCCUUGUCACUCAGACAGAGCAGCUGUUGACGCGCCCCAACGAGAAGUGCGAUGAUCACAAGGUCAGGCCGAGCAGCGACAGUCCAUGCGGAUCCAUACACUACACGUCUGACCAGGCGUCCACCUGAAUCUCGCUGAGGCAUUGCUAACUGCAUCCGUUUCCCCUCUAACGGUUUCACGCACUUUUUAACUCUCUUUUCAAAGUUCUUUUCAACUUUCCC
RNAcentral lists this ribosomal RNA (652 nucleotides) under Mawia benovici. RNAcentral's name for it is "partial 28S ribosomal RNA". Lineage: Eukaryota; Metazoa; Cnidaria; Scyphozoa; Semaeostomeae; Pelagiidae. The record is from RNAcentral.